CCUACGGGAGGCAGCAGUGGGGAAUUGUUCGCAAUGGGCGCAAGCCUGACGACGCAACGCCGCGUGGAGGAUGAAGACCUUCGGGUCGUAAACUCCUUUCGAUCGAGACGAAUGUUUUCCGGGUGAACAAUCCGGAAAAGUGACGGUACCGAGAGAAGAAGCCCCGGCUAACUCUGUGCCAGCAGCCGCGGUAAUACAGGGGGGGCAAGCGUUGUUCGGAAUUACUGGGCGUAAAGGGCUUGUAGGUGGCCAACUAAGUCAGACGUGAAAUCCCUCAGCUUAACUGGGGAACUGCGUCUGAUACUGGAUGGCUUGAGUUUGGGAGAGGGAUGCGGAAUUCCAGGUGUAGCGGUGAAAUGCGUAGAUAUCUGGAGGAACACCGGUGGCGAAGGCGGCAUCCUGGACCAACACUGACACUGAGGAGCGAAAGCCAGGGGAGCAAACGGGAUUAGAUACCCCGGUAGUCCUGGCCCUAAACGAUGAAUGCUUGGUGUGGCGGGUAUCGAUCCCUGCCGUGCCGAAGCUAACGCAUUAAGCAUUCCGCCUGGGGAUACGGUGCAAGGCUGAAACUUCAAAUGAAUUGACGGNNGNGNGNGCGAGCGACGACGAGGAGAGG
RNAcentral lists this ribosomal RNA (616 nucleotides) under uncultured bacterium. Its description in RNAcentral is "bacterial SSU rRNA". It matches the Rfam family "Bacterial small subunit ribosomal RNA", at positions 338 to 945 of the family's 1533-position model. The record is from RNAcentral.